Molecule: long non-coding RNA, 4242 nt
Filed under: Volvox carteri
Lineage: Eukaryota; Viridiplantae; Chlorophyta; Chlorophyceae; Chlamydomonadales; Volvocaceae
Description: long non-coding RNA (VCAR_LNC001443)
Source: RNAcentral
UGGGUUACGCGCCCUGCCGCUGGAACUUAGUCUACAGCAAUAACGAGCAUCAACUGCCGAGAACCCAAGAAACCUUCAUGUCACAUAACAUUUUAAUGAAAAACAUCUACUCUUAAUUCCUUCUGUGGCAUUUAACCUAACAGGAAAUGCGUGUCCUUGUAAAUUGCCCAUCCGGGGAGAGCCGCCUCUUCCAGAUUGACGCCCAGGCGACAGUGCUAGAACUUAAGCAAGCACUUCAAGAAGCUGAGGGUAUGAGGAUAGGCGCGGCGGCCUUGGUGGGACGAGCGCAUCCUUGACGCUGCUUACCGACGUCUCGCAGGUAUACCUGUCAAGCAGCAGGUGCUAUGUUUUGCGGGUAAUAACCUUAAAGAUCACUUGAGCUUAGCAGACCACAACCUCGAAGCAUACACGCUCUCCGACGAGGUGCGCGGGGCGGGAGCAGAGGAGGGCAGGGAGCAAUCUGCGCCCGGUUGGCCAGGAUAACUGCACCCAGCCAACCCUGAUGGCUUGGCCUACCAAAACCCUGUGGAAGGUUUAAGGAGGAUCUCCUGGUGCUCAACUAAGCCAGCAUGGAUUGCCCAUACACGUCUCCCUUGUCCAUGCGAGUAUCCGCGUCCAUCGCAGCUUACUGAACCAGUCUUAGUUGGUGUGCUCCCAGGCCACCGGCAUAAUCACAAGUGGCUACGAGGCCCACCUAUACCCGGACCCCAGAUAUACAGUUCAUCACCGGCAGAAAGCCACCCCAGCCCGCUUCACCCGGCCGUUCACAUCUGGGCCUCGUCCGAGCCCACGGCGCUGUUCACGUCUCAUUCCGACCUCCCGCCUCCAACCUCCCGCCUCCAAGGCCCCAACCCACCCGCCUCUGCCCCUUCUCAUCCCCCAGGUCGUCCUUUACCUUUCCAAGCGCCUCGCCCAGCCCAAGCGCGUCUACCUGACCGCCCGAAACAAGCUCUCCCAGCAAGCCGCGGAACUGGUGGAAGCUGACACGCCAGUGGGCAGUCUGAUGGGGCUGCUGGAGUCACGUGGUUUCGCAACUCCCUUUGCGCCGGGCGCCUCCAUCGUUGUGAAGCGGCAGGACGGCUCCACGGUGCCCAUCACGGUGGAUGCGACGGAGGAGCUGCAGGCCAUGGAGGACAGAGUAGCAGCACAGGAGGUGCGGGGCUGAAGACCUUGGGGAAGGUAGAGGGAGCAUGAAGGGGUUUGUUUUAUGGGAGCCAAGCGAACCAGGCAGUGUGGGACCAGGCAGUGUGGGGACUCAGGGUGGACUUAGCCUGAUUUGUAUGCUUAAUGCGUGGCGGCCCUGCGGUGUCCUGAUAAGGGCUCCGGGCUCAAGGUUUGCCCGUUGCGAAGUAGACCCUUUCCCCUUCUUUAGCUGCAUCUUUAGACCGUGCGCAUGGCAAGCCCAGCAUCCUAAAGUGGUCACCCACCGUCUGGCGCCUUGGCUGCCCGGCUGAUGGGAUCAUUUGUAUACUUUUUGUAAAUCGCUCUUCUACAUGCCGGCUUUGCAGGGUGUGGCCCCUACUUGCUGCACCUUCCUUCAGGCGCAGGACGGCAACAUGCACGUACAAGUGAGUGAAUGGCAGUGGAGGGAAAAUGCCAACUAUAGCGGUAGGCUUGGGAAAAAACAAUUUCGAUGGUUUGUUUCAUGCGUCUCAUAUUCGAGAUGCCCAUGGGUGCAUGGCCAAAGGGCUUUCGGGCACAUGUGUCUCGACGGAGUCUGCCUAGCGCUAAGGCCUUACCCUGCUCUCGAAGUCCUUGGCGCAAGAAAACAAGCUAAUCCACUCCACCAUUUGGUUUUCGCGGCGCCGCAGUUACACCCAAGCGCCUCAGCGUCCUCCGACACCUACCCGGUAUACAAGCGAGUUGCCAACCAACCAAUGAUACCGGUGAGGCAAUGCCGGGUCCACCUGUUUGCCCGAAAGAGUUUCGUCUCUAUACACUAUACACUAUUCCGGCAGAGGUCGUGAUUCUCCGUAUUAGAUCCGUAAGGAAGGGAGAUCUGUGAGCCUCUUUUGGGCAAGUGAUAGGAGUGGCUCAGUUGGGUGGGAAUGAUUGAGCUGCAGUGCAGCAAUUUUUUGUGGCUUUUGCGUUUCAUAACAGAUGGGGUCAUGACAGUAGCAAGACAGGGCAUGGGAAGCAUUAGGGCUAUGGUACUCGCGGGUGGGGCGUUGGUGGUUGUGAUGGUGGUGUGGUGGUUGCGAGGCAACAACAGGCGGACCCGGCCCAGGCUCAAACGCGAACGCGGACGGACGGGGUUGGGAAGGGUUACAGCCCCUCCUGUCUGCGAAAAAGGUGGUGAGAAGGAGCUGGGUCAUGGCCCUCGGGCAGUUGGAUGUGGUCGUGCUGUGUGCCGUGUGGCGUGAUAGACUGCAGCGCGUCGCGUAGGCGUGGCGACUUUAUGGGACUUAGGGAACAUGUGUUCAGUUGUGUUGUAGUCGCUGUGUAUGCACAUUGCUUUUCCUAUCACUGUGUAGUAUGCUGGGUACGUAUCCUGACUGACGUAUGCGCCACCAGCUCGCGAGCCCUUUCCUCACAUUCCUUUAGCCAUGCCAGGUAUGUCCCGCCAUGCCAGGUAUCCCUCACCUCCCGUUCCUCAUUAACCUGGCGGCCUUCUUCCAAACCCUUCCUCCCUGGACAGAAGAAAGAGGCGAAAGAGGGCAUGCAACACCUGCCGGAGCUUGUCAAGGAGCUGUGCGUACUGCCGUGAUGUGUAAAUAUGCGUAGUGCCCACCCGGUAGACACUUUGGCCAUGCAAAUGAAUGAAUCCUGUUAGUGUGGAUCCGAAACCAUUCCAAGGUACCAUCUGUGCAUCCUUGCAUUCUUCAAUGCAUGCGGCAGUUUUCAGGUCGAGGUGUAAGGGCGGCCCGUGGCCUUAUGGGUGGUUAUAGCCGGAUGAUUGUGGCAGGCCCGUAUGUAGGGUACGCCGGUAGGUAGCUUAGGAAUUCAUCGGUAGAGCUGUUAGGCGCAGGAUUCUGGAACAGAGCGAGUUUGGAUUAACGCAGCCCCAUAUGGGCUCCUUUACUGGUGGAUGGCUGGACUCCGGAGAGUGAAAGCCCCGGGUGUUAUGGAUUGCUGCUUGGCAAGGCAGAUGGGUGGUCUGCAAAUGGCGUCAUGGUCCAUCCUUAAGCAGUACUCCUGAGGGUAUUACUUUGGAACUUGGCCGUUCCACGCAUGAUUGUGUGACCCUUUUCUGCAGACGAAGCUCUUCAGCAGGAUGAACAGGUGGCGUGUGUUGUAUGCGCGUGCGGGAUCCAUGAACGCAGAGUUUAGAGUUUCGGGUUAGGGCCCAGGCGAGGCGCGUCGCUACCAACUCGGUUAAUAUAUUUUUGGUGGUUUGGGACUUGGACGAAACAGUCAAAAGGUGGUUGGGGGGCUAAGACGUAAGGUAUAGCGAGGGAAAUGCUCUCCCGCUGCACGCAUCCGAAUGCACUGCCGUGCUGCCUAUUGUACCCAUCGCGACUGUCGAAAAUUGUUUUGCAGGAUUUUCGGUAUCGGCUUGGAACCUAGGACUGUCUGGGUCUGUGGCUAUACCCGCGUUGGUGUGGUUAUAAACGCGUCCGGUUGCUGCUUAACAAGGUCAAACGUGGUCAAACCUUGCCUCAAGAGCAUCGACCGCGAUGGGAACUCUCACCAUGCUAUUGCAAAGGAAAGUCAGCAUAUAAGAGCGAAGCAUAUCAGAGGCAAGGAACCAGAGUACAAGAAAUAGGAGGCAACAAGGAACGCCGAAUCUUAAGCGCAUCAGCGGAGUUCAGGGCACUGUUGGUAGAUCUUUAUGUAACCCCACGAAAGUUGGUCAAACAGUUUGUCCCAGAGCCCGCAAGUCGUCGGUAAACACCAGUGAACAUUUUGGCUGAGCCGACACAGUGCCUUCCGCUAAUGAAAUGCUAGACACGCGUCAUAUUGUCUUCAAGCCGCUUCAAGCUGCAGAAAAAAUCCGGAAGUCAUUCAUCCAUUGCUCAAGUGUCGGAAAUUGCCGGUAACUCAGCAAAGAGAGGUCACGUGGUGUAAAGACCAUGUUUUAAACUCUUUGGUGAUAUCUUUCUGCAAAGGUAAUGAAAGCCCCCUUGCUCAACAUGCACCAAACGUCGGACUCGCAACCCUAGUUCACGAAGCAUCCAACGGACUCGCCAUUGGGUAUGCACUGUCCAGAUAAGCAAUUCAGCAAGAGUGAUCCCCAAGAAUGUAAUAACAUCGUAUGUGAGCCGAAUUGAAGCGUAACUAACGGAAAACGGGCGGACAGGA